RNAcentral lists this non-coding RNA (985 nucleotides) under Trichomonas vaginalis G3. Its description in RNAcentral is "Eukaryotic large subunit ribosomal RNA". It matches the Rfam family "Eukaryotic large subunit ribosomal RNA", at positions 275 to 1537 of the family's 3401-position model. The record is from Rfam by way of RNAcentral. Lineage: Eukaryota; Parabasalia; Trichomonadida; Trichomonadidae.
UGAGAGUAGUGUCUUAAGGGGGUGGUAUGUCCCAUCCAAGGCUAAAUAACGUGAGGAGACCGAUAGAUUACAAGUAGUGUGAACGAAAGAUGAAAAGAACUCUAAAACAGAGGGUGAAAAGUUCCUGAACUUGCUUAGGGUUAAGGCUAUUUAUAGUACCCGUCUUGAAACACGGAUUAGGGAGUUUAUCUGUAGUGCGAGUCUUUGCACGUUAACUGUAAAGGCGUAGAGAAAGCAACUGGCGUUUGCAUGGCUACUGAGCAUUACUGAUAGGACCCGAAAGGUGGUGAACUUUGCCUGCACAGGUUGAAGUCAGGGGAAACUCUGAUGGAGGACCGUACGGGUUAUUGAUGUGCAAAUCAUUUUUCUGAUGUAGGUAAAGGUGCGAAAGACUCAUCGAACCACCUAAUAGCUGGUUUCCUCCGAAGUUUCCCUCAGGAUAGCUGUAAUGCAUUUAGUUAAGGGGAGUAGAGAUAUGGGUAGAGGUGCAGGGAGCCUUCGGGUUCUCAACUUAUUUCCAAACUUCGAACCUCCUUGUUAGGCAUUUACCUAACUGGAAAUGCUUAAAUGAAUUAGCGUUACAAGUGGGCUCUGACCGGUAAGCGGUCAUGGCGAAAUGGGAUGAACCAUACGUCUGAAUAAGGUGCCGAAAUGUACUAUCACUGAUACCAUAAAGGGAGUCCAUGUAUUUAGACAGCAGGUCGGUGCCCCUAAAAGCAGGUAUCCGCUAAAGAGUGUGUUAAAACUCACCUGCCGAAUACUAGGGCCCCGAAAAUGAAUGGCGCAUAUAGUACUACCGAUCUCAGACAUCAGUUCUAUUGAACUGAGAGUAGGGGGAUGUGGACAUUUUUGUGAAGGUGCAAUGUGAGUUGGACUGGAAGAAUGUCUAUUACAGAUCCUAAUUGAAGUAGCGAUUAUCCAGGCUUGUAUCCUGGGGGCUGAUGAGGAGUAGGUUUUCUGGACAACUUAAACAGAUCCCGAGUUA